GACGAACGCUGGCGGCGUGCUUAACACAUGCAAGUCGAACGGUAAGGCUCCAGCUUGCUGGGGUACACGAGUGGCGAACGGGUGAGUAACACGUGGGUGACCUGCCCUGCACUUCGGGAUAGGCCUGGGAAACUGGGUCUAAUACCGGAUAGGACCAUGGUGUGGAUACUGUGGUGGAAAGUUUUUUCGGUGUGGGAUGGGCCCGCGGCCUAUCAGCUUGUUGGUGGGGUAAUGGCCUACCAAGGCGGCGACGGGUAGCCGGCCUGAGAGGGUGGACGGCCACAUUGGGACUGAGACACGGCCCAGACUCCUACGGGAGGCAGCAGUGGGGAAUAUUGCACAAUGGGCGGAAGCCUGAUGCAGCGACGCCGCGUGGGGGAUGACGGCCUUCGGGUUGUAAACUCCUUUCACCAUCGACGAAGGGUUUCUGACGGUAGAUGGAGAAGAAGCACCGGCUAACUACGUG
This 466-nucleotide ribosomal RNA is filed under the name uncultured bacterium. RNAcentral describes it as "partial 16S ribosomal RNA". It matches the Rfam family "Bacterial small subunit ribosomal RNA", at positions 28 to 507 of the family's 1533-position model. The record is from RNAcentral.